Andrographis paniculata is the source of this 4549-nucleotide RNA transcript. RefSeq lists it as uncharacterized. NCBI's taxonomy places the organism in Eukaryota, Viridiplantae, Streptophyta, Magnoliopsida, Lamiales, Acanthaceae. The transcript has 4 exons. The record is from RefSeq and is a predicted model, not a curated record.
CUCACCUCUGCUUUCUCUCUUUGGCUGCGCACUUCUCCCUACAAUCUAAAUCCACCCAUUCUUCUUCUCAGUUAUCCCACUGCAAUCUCUGUCUCGCCGUUCCUGAGCCGUGGAACUUUGGAGACAUUUUGUUUCAACAUCAGUCUUGUCUCUCUUCUUGCCUUCUUCAAUUAUGGUCUAAAUAGCAAGUACCAAGGUUGAAGUCAUAAUAGCAAAGGCAUAUUUUGGACUUCUUGCAAUAGGUGCAAGACAUAUUCUGAAUACAGUAAUGUGUAUUUGAAUGAACUCUUAGAGUGUCCUCGUGAUGAGGACGUCAAAUCUUUAAGCACUCAAAUGCCCGUGAGACCCAUCACUCGAAGCCGAGCUCGUCAGUUUCAAAAAUCCGUCACUACAUUGAUCAUACGUUUUUUCAUGGAGAAUUAAUUUAAGGAUGAUGCUUGGAGACCACUUAGCCCUCACCUGACGCGCCUUCAAUGGGACCCGCAAGAAUCCCAAUUGAAAGAUCAAGAGAAUCGCUAAUCAUGGAAGAUUAUCAAGGGAAUUAUCACUUAUGGAGAGAAUCACUAAUCAUGGAAGUAUAUCAAGGGAAUCCUCACUUAUGGAGAGAAUCACUAAUCAUGGAAGUAUAUCAAGGGAAUCAUCACUUAUUUCCUUUUAUUAUAAGUUUCCAUAUAGUAUAAUUCUAUAUCUAAAACUUCCCUAAUUAAUUAUUUCCUUAUUGUUAGACUUACCUUUUAGUUUGUUUCCUUUAUUAUUUGUUGCCUUUUAUUUUCCUCAAGGACCUCUAUUUAAGGUCCUUGUCUAUCAUUGUAAUGCGAACCUUUUUUUACAUCUUGAAUUGAAUUUCACUUUUAUAUUUUCUAGUGUUAGGGAGUAAUUUCCUCGCAUUUAGAAUCUCAAAUCGGGUCUUUGGAGUGAUUCCAUCGGUUCGUGGCUUCCAAUCCUUUGUAGUGGGAUUUAGCCUAUUGUUUGUGUUUUACCUGUGGAUUGAUUUCAGGUCCGAGACUUAUUCUCGUGGUUGGUUAUCAUCCAUACUAAUUCACAUUCUCUGCACUAUCUUUCUUCUUCCUUCUCUUUUCUUUUAUACAUAUUUUUAAUCCAUUUGUUCUAUUGAACUUUGUGGGUAAGAAAAUUAUGUUGGUUAUAAUUAUACGUGGCCGGGCCGUGUCAUCUGGUAUCAGAGCUAGUUGAUACAAUCUCUUGAUUGAUAUCACGGUUCUUAUUUGGAAAAAAAAAACAAGUCAAAAAAAGAGCAAAAAAAAAAGAAAAAAAAAGAGAAAAAAAAAAUGAAAAAAAAAUUAUUAUCAAAAAUCAAGAUAUUUGUUAUUUACUUAUAGUUCUCGAAUCAUCUUUUCUUUUAUUAAAAAAACAAAAAAAAAUCUAUUUAGAUUAUUUGUCUUCUACCUUCAUUCUGAACUUAUAUUUCUUUUGGUUUUCCUACUGUCUUGGAUUUUUUGGCUAUCGUCUUUGGGAGAAUUCCAUCGAUUUGAUUUAAAUCCUUUUUGCGAGACGGAGAGGUACAUAAGGUGUGGAGUGAUACACGAGAGUUCUAGUGAGGUUAUUUUCUUCUUUUUUUUUCUUUCUUUCUUUCUUCUAUUUCUAAUGGCAGGGGGUGUACGACCCAAUUCUCAACAAGUUGAUGUACAAGGUCUUCUCAAUACCAUGCUACAAGAGUUCAAAACUCUUCACUAUUCUAGAUUGGAAUUGAUGAAUAAUAGGAUGGAUCAACUGGAAGAGAAUCAAAAAAAGUUACAGGAGAAUAUCCGAUCGUUACCGGAAGCUCAUAGGCGAAAUGAUGUUCAACCGCAUUUGAGGCCAAGACGCAACGUCCGGCCCCCACCCCCACACAAAUUUGACGAACCCGAUGAUGAGGAGUUUGAAGGAAAUUGGGAACGACCUAGGCAUCAUAAUAACUAUCACCGACGGGAUGGAGAUGAGGCUAUCAACUCGAUCAAGUUUCAAAUGCCACCGUUCCAAGGAAAAUCUGACCCUGAAGUAUUUUUGCAAUGGGAACGAAGGUUAGACCUAAUCUUUGAUGUUCAACAAUUAACUGAGCAACAAAAACUCCGUGUGGCUGUAAUGGAGUUUUCAGAUUAUGCCCUUGCAUGGUGGGACCAAUUGAGCAUCAACCGCCGCAGAAAUAGGGAGGCUCUAGUGCGUACUUGGACAGAACUUCGUACACUCAUGCGAAAGAGGUUUGUUCCUCCUCAUUACCAUCGUGAAGUAUUGCGGAGAUUGCAGAGCAUACAACAAGGGUCUCGGUCAGUGGAGGAGUACUAUGAGGAGCUUGAAACACUUCUUCUACAAGCCGAUAUCCAAGAAGAUCAGGAGCAAAUGAUGUCUAGAUUUUUGAAUGGGCUUCAAAGGGAUAUUGCUGAUGCGGUAGAGAUGUACCAAUACGUGGACCUCAAGGAGAUGGUACACUUGGCCAUAAAGGUGGAGAAGCAACUAAAAUCAAAGAGGAUGCAAGGUAAUCUGUUUAAACUUGCUUCAAUUGUAGGGUUACCUAAAGCACCGCUUCGACAACAUAUCAACAAAGGAAAAGCGGAGUUCAAUUUGAAGUCCUCCUUAGAAUCACCCGCAACAAGAAGUACUCCGGAUACAAUUGCAUCUACUCUUUCAUAUAGCCUAACUACCCCACAACCUCUCAAAUCUUCAUCCUCACCAAUAAAUACAUCUGGCCCGAGCCACUCUCAAAUACUCUACCCUUCUACUCAAAAAUCAAACACGAGUGUUGUGAUUCAGGGUGAAACCUGCUGGAAUAUUAAACACGAGAGUGAGAGGUCUAAUCUUUUUUAUGUGUAGGAAGGAAGCUUUACGCUUGGAACAUGGAGUUCAUUGUUUGCUAUUACUUUCUAAACCUACUUAUUUUUCCAUGAAUGACUCUAACAAACUUCCAUCUAGUUUUUCUAACUUAUUGCAGGCGUAUGAUAAUGUUUUUCCUGAUGAAGUACCCCAUGGUUUACCACCCACUCAUGGGAUUGAGCACCAAAUUGAUUUUGUCCCGGGAGCAUCAAUUCCUAAUCGGCCAGCCUAUCAAGCCAACCCGGAUGAGGUAAAAGAAAAACAAAGGCAAGUCGAGGAUCUACUGAGCAAAGGUUGGAUUCAUGAAAGCCUAAGUCCUUGUGCUUUACCUGUCCUAUUUGUGCCAAAAAAAGAUGGAGGUUGGCGCAUGUGUGUGGAUUGCCGAGCCGUCAACGCUAUAACACUUUUGUGUCGACAAGUGCAACUUUUUGGGUUUUAUUGUAAGAAAAGAUGGAGUAUGUGUAGAUCCUGCGAAUAUUGCAGCCAUCCAAGAGUGGCCUACACCUACUAGCGUGCGUGAUAUCCGCAGUUUCCAUGGCCUUGCAAGUUUCUACCGUCAAAAAAGAGGAUAAGUUUGAGUGGGGAAGUGAACAACAAAAUGCUUUUGAUACUUUAAAUUCGAAACUUACAUGUGCACCCGUACUUGCUUUACAUGAUUUCUUUAAACCGUUUGAACUUGAUGCCUCUGGUGUAGGUAUUAACGCCGUCCUCUCGCAAGAAAAGAGACCCGUUGCAUUUUUCAGUGAAAAGCUACAUGGCGCUGCGUUGAAUUACUCAACCUACAAUAAGGAAUUGUAUUCCUUAGUGCGGGCCCUGCAAACAUGGCAACAUUAUGUACGCCCUCCCGAAGCUGAAGGUGCAAUUCGUCGGUGUAGAACGUGCCUCUCGUUGAAGUCUAUUGUUCAUCCACGCGAAAAAAGGGUUGAAUUUGUCCAACAAUUUCAUUCUAAAGUUCGGGAUGACCUACGAAAGGCAGCUGACAAUUAUGCAAAACAAGCUAACUGUGGGCGCAAGAAAGUUGUAUUCGCGAUAGGGGAUUGGUUUUGGCUACACUUAAGGAAGGAAAGAUUUUCAGGAUUACGAAAGUCAAAACUUACUCCCUAUGGCGAUGGGCCUUUUCGAGUGUUGGAACACAUUAAUGAUAAUGCUUAAAAACUUGAACUCCCAGGUGAGUACCAAGUUCAGGCUACUUUUAAUGUUUCUGACUUAAGCCCUUUUGAUGUAGUGGAUUUUCGGGAGAACAAGAAAGCUUUUCAAGAAGGAGGGAAUGACGAGGACGUCAAAUCUUUAAGCAUUCAAAUGCCCGUGGGACCCAUCACUCGAAGCCGAGCUCGUCAGUUUCAAAAAUCCGUCACUACAUUGAUCAUACGUUUUUUCAUGGAGAAUCAAUUUAAGGAUGAUGCUUGGAGACCACUUAGCCCUCACCUGACGCGCCUUCAAUGGGACCCGCAAGAAUCCCAAUUGAAAGAUCAAGAGAAUCGCUAAUCAUGGAAGAUUAUCAAGGGAAUCAUCACUUAUGGAGAGAAUCACUAAUCAUGGAAGUAUAUCAAGGGAAUCCUCACUUAUGGAGAGAAUCACUAAUCAUGGAAGUAUAUCAAGGGAAUCAUCACUUAUGGAGAGAAUCACUAAUCAUGGAAGUAUAUCAAGGGAAUCAUCACUUAUUUCCUUUUAUUAUAAGUUUCCAUAUAGUAUAAUUCCAUAUCUAAAACUUCCCUAAUUAUUUAUUUCCUUAUUGUUAGACUUA